Molecule: ribosomal RNA, 293 nt
Filed under: Staphylococcus epidermidis NIHLM040
Lineage: Bacteria; Bacillati; Bacillota; Bacilli; Caryophanales; Staphylococcaceae
Also listed under: 2 other names
Description: partial 16S ribosomal RNA
Rfam family: Bacterial small subunit ribosomal RNA
Source: RNAcentral
UUUUUAUGGAGAGUUUGAUCCUGGCUCAGGAUGAACGCUGGCGGCGUGCCUAAUACAUGCAAGUCGAGCGAACAGACGAGGAGCUUGCUCCUCUGACGUUAGCGGCGGACGGGUGAGUAACACGUGGAUAACCUACCUAUAAGACUGGGAUAACUUCGGGAAACCGGAGCUAAUACCGGAUAAUAUAUUGAACCGCAUGGUUCAAUAGUGAAAGACGGUUUUGCUGUCACUUAUAGAUGGAUCCGCGCCGCAUUAGCUAGUUGGUAAGGUAACGGCUUACCAAGGCAACGAUG